This is a non-coding RNA of Pelobates cultripes (western spadefoot toad), 812 nucleotides long. The record is from the annotation of a GenBank genome assembly. Lineage: Eukaryota; Metazoa; Chordata; Amphibia; Anura; Pelobatidae.
UUAAUCAGUCCCGCACAAAGUUCCAUGCCGACUAAGUCAUGUGUGCUACAAGUGUAAAUAACACUCUGGAACAUCUUUAAAGAUGUCUCUGUAUAUGCCGCCUGCAUGCUGAAAAACUGCACAUACAGAUUGCAUUUAAGUCAAGUGAGUCACAUGUAAAUAGAAAUAACCAGUUCUGAAAUUCUAAGAAAUUCUACAGCACUGAACAAUAUCUAGACCAGGGGUAGGCAACGUUUUAGCAGUACUGUGCCGAUAUAGGAUUGUGAUGUCCUGUAGCGUGCAGAUCCUAUUUUUUUUAAAUUGAGGUGUGCAUGUUGCCGUAUUCUGCUUGUGUUAUUUUUACUGUAAUUGCUUUGUAUCGUUGUAUUUGUGCGUAUAUGAGCUAUUAUAGUGUGUGUUCAUUAAUAGUUUAUGGUAUUGUGUAUGAUACAUAUGGAUGUGGGCUGUGUAUGAGGGCUGCUUGUGGAAUUGUGUGUGGAUGGAUAUGUCACAUUGUGUGUUUGGUAGUGUGUGUAUGUGUGGGGCUGUUUGGGGUAUUGCAUGUGAGAGGCUGCAUGUGUGGUUGUGUGCAUGUAUGUGGAUUGUUAGUGGUGUUGUGUUUGUGGGGAUUGUGUGUAUGUUUGUGUGUGGGCUGUUAUUGUUAUUAUGCAUUUCUGUGUAUAUCUAGCAGUGUGGGUGGCUUCCCUGGGUUCCAGUGGGGACCAGGCUGGCCAGGUACAGGUCAAGGACAGGAGCUGCAACAGCAGCUGCGCGUUCUACUACAGUUUGGAUUCCUAUUCACAAUUGCCGGGAGGAAGUGAUCUGAGAUCACU